CAGCAGCCACGGUAAUACGGAGGGGGCUAGCGUUGUUCGGAAUCACUGGGCGUAAAGCGCACGUAGGCGGCUUUGCAAGUCAGAGGUGAAAGCCCGGGGCUCAACCCCGGAAUAGCCUUUGAGACUGCAUCGCUCGAACGUCGGAGAGGUGAGUGGAAUUCCGAGUGUAGAGGUGAAAUUCGUAGAUAUUCGGAAGAACACCAGUGGCGAAGGCGGCUCACUGGACGACUGUUGACGCUGAGGUGCGAAAGCGUGGGGAGCAAACAGGAUUAGAUACCCCCGUAGUCCCUGUCUCUUAUAC
RNAcentral lists this ribosomal RNA (301 nucleotides) under uncultured bacterium. RNAcentral's name for it is "partial 16S ribosomal RNA". It matches the Rfam family "Bacterial small subunit ribosomal RNA", at positions 509 to 807 of the family's 1533-position model. The record is from RNAcentral.